RNAcentral lists this ribosomal RNA (253 nucleotides) under uncultured bacterium. Its description in RNAcentral is "partial 16S ribosomal RNA". It matches the Rfam family "Bacterial small subunit ribosomal RNA", at positions 524 to 776 of the family's 1533-position model. The record is from RNAcentral.
UACGUAGGGUCCGAGCGUUGUCCGGAGUUACUGGGCGUAAAGCGCGCGCAGGUGGCGGUGCUGGCCCGGCGUGAAAGCCCCCGGCUCAACCGGGGAGGGUCGUCGGGGACCGCACCGCUUGAGGGCGGUAGGGGCUGGUGGAAUGCCUGGUGUAGUGGUGAAAUGCGUAGAGAUCAGGCGGAACACCCGUGGCGAAGGCGGCCAGCUGGGCCGUCCCUGACGCUGAGGCGCGAAGGCGUGGGGAGCGAACGGG